GACGAACGCUGGCGGCGUGCCUAAUACAUGCAAGUAGAACGCUGAAGAGAGGAGCUUGCUCUUCUUGGAUGAGUUGCGAACGGGUGAGUAACGCGUAGGUAACCUGCCUUGUAGCGGGGGAUAACUAUUGGAAACGAUAGCUAAUACCGCAUAACAAUGGAUGACACAUGUCAUUUAUUUGAAAGGGGCAAUUGCUCCACUACAAGAUGGCCCUGCGUUGUAUUAGCUAGUAGGUGAGGUAACGGCUCACCUAGGCGACGAUACAUAGCCGACCUGAGAGGGUGAUCGGCCACACUGGGACUGAGACACGGCCCAGACUCCUACGGGAGGCAGCAGUAGGGAAUCUUCGGCAAUGGGGGCAACCCUGACCGAGCAACGCCGCGUGAGUGAAGAAGGUUUUCGGAUCGUAAAGCUCUGUUGUAAGUCAAGAACGAGUGUGAGAGUGGAAAGUUCACACUGUGACGGUAGCUUACCAGAAAGGGACGGCUAACUACGUGCCAGCAGCCGCGGUAAUACGUAGGUCCCGAGCGUUGUCCGGAUUUAUUGGGCGUAAAGCGAGCGCAGGCGGUUUGAUAAGUCUGAAGUUAAAGGCUGUGGCUCAACCAUAGUUCGCUUUGGAAACUGUCAAACUUGAGUGCAGAAGGGGAGAGUGGAAUUCCAUGUGUAGCGGUGAAAUGCGUAGAUAUAUGGAGGAACACCGGUGGCGAAAGCGGCUCUCUGGUCUGUAACUGACGCUGAGGCUCGAAAGCGUGGGGAGCGAACAGG
This 765-nucleotide ribosomal RNA is filed under the name uncultured Streptococcus sp. RNAcentral describes it as "bacterial SSU rRNA". It matches the Rfam family "Bacterial small subunit ribosomal RNA", at positions 28 to 776 of the family's 1533-position model. The record is from RNAcentral. Lineage: Bacteria; Bacillati; Bacillota; Bacilli; Lactobacillales; Streptococcaceae.